Molecule: ribosomal RNA, 449 nt
Filed under: uncultured bacterium
Lineage: Bacteria
Description: bacterial SSU rRNA
Rfam family: Bacterial small subunit ribosomal RNA
Source: RNAcentral
UGGGGAAUAUUGGACAAUGGGCGCAAGCCUGAUCCAGCCAUGCCGCGUGAGUGACGAAGGUCUUCGGAUUGUAAAGCUCUUUUUGGCGGGGACGAUAAUGACGGUACCCGCAGAAUAAGCCCCGGCUAACUUCGUGCCAGCAGCCGCGGUAAUACGAAGGGGGCUAGCGUUGUUCGGAAUUACUGGGCGUAAAGCGCACGUAGGCGGACUGAUAAGUCAGGGGUGAAAUCCUGGGGCUCAACCCCCAGAACUGCCUUUGAUACUGGCUGUCUCGAGGUCGAGAGAGGUGAGUGGAAUUCCUAGUGUAGAGGUGAAAUUCGUAGAUAUUAGGAAGAACACCGGUGGCGAAGGCGGCUCACUGGCUCGAUACUGACACUGAGGUGCGAAAGCGUGGGGAGCAAACAGGAUUAGAUACCCCCGUAGUCCCUGAGCGGGCUGGCAAGGCGCAU